RNAcentral lists this ribosomal RNA (146 nucleotides) under Vibrio sp. V15_P4S5T153. RNAcentral's name for it is "partial 16S ribosomal RNA". It matches the Rfam family "Bacterial small subunit ribosomal RNA", at positions 1 to 135 of the family's 1533-position model. The record is from RNAcentral. Lineage: Bacteria; Pseudomonadati; Pseudomonadota; Gammaproteobacteria; Vibrionales; Vibrionaceae.
ACUUUAAUUGAAGAGUUUGAUCAUGGCUCAGAUUGAACGCUGGCGGCAGGCCUAACACAUGCAAGUCGAGCGGCAGCACAGAGGAACUUGUUCCUUGGGUGGCGAGCGGCGGACGGGUGAGUAAUGCCUAGGAAAUUGCCCUGAUG